GACUGAAACUCAAAGGAAUUGACGGGGGCCCGCACAAGCGGUGGAGCAUGUGGUUUAAAUCGAAGCAACGCGAAGAACCUUACCAGGUCUUGACAUCCUCUGACAACCCUAGAGAUAGGGCUUUCCCUUCGGGGACAGAGUGACAGGUGGUGCAUGGUUGUCGUCAGCUCGUGUCGUGAGAUGUUGGGUUAAGUCCCGCAACGAGCGCAACCCUUGAUCUUAGUUGCCAGCAUUCAGUUGGGCACCUUAAGGUGACUGCCGGUGACAAACCGGAGGAAGGUGGGGAUGACGUCAAAUCAUCAUGCCCCUUAUGACCUGGGCUACACACGUGCUACAAUGGACAGAACAAAGGGCUGCGAGACCGCAAGGUUUAGCCAAUCCCACAAAUCUGUUCUCAGUUCGGAUCGCAGUCUGCAACUCGACUGCGUGACGCUGGAAUCGCUAGUAAUCGCGGAU
RNAcentral lists this ribosomal RNA (456 nucleotides) under Bacillus pumilus. RNAcentral describes it as "bacterial SSU rRNA". It matches the Rfam family "Bacterial small subunit ribosomal RNA", at positions 892 to 1349 of the family's 1533-position model. Lineage: Bacteria; Bacillati; Bacillota; Bacilli; Caryophanales; Bacillaceae. The record is from RNAcentral.